AUUGCUUCUCGGCCUUUUGGCUAAGAUCAAGUGUAGUAAAAUUUAUUUUGGGAUUUUUGUUCUUUUUUUUUUUUUUUUUGAGACGGGGUCUUGCUAUGUAGUUCAGACUGGCCUUGAACUCACUAUGUAGUUUAGGCUGGCCUCAAACUCCUGGUGAUCCUCAU
This 164-nucleotide small nuclear RNA is filed under the name Heterocephalus glaber (naked mole-rat). RNAcentral's name for it is "U2 spliceosomal RNA (ENSHGLG00100039456.1)". The stretch from base 1 to 146 matches the Rfam family "U2 spliceosomal RNA". Rfam says of the family: U2 is a small nuclear RNA (snRNA) component of the spliceosome (involved in pre-mRNA splicing). Complementary binding between U2 snRNA (in an area lying towards the 5' end but 3' to hairpin I) and the branchpoint sequence (BPS) of the intron results the bulging out of an unpaired adenosine, on the BPS, which initiates a nucleophilic attack at the intronic 5' splice site, thus starting the first of two transesterification reactions that mediate splicing. Lineage: Eukaryota; Metazoa; Chordata; Mammalia; Rodentia; Bathyergidae. The record is from RNAcentral.